CCCGGGGGUGGGUCCCCGCUGCCCCUCGGGGUGGGUCCCCGGUGCCACCCCCCGCCGUGGAUUCCCGCUGCCCCUCGGGGUGGAUCCCCGGUGCCCCCCCCCCCGUGGAUCCCCGCUGCCCCCCGGGGGUGGACCUGGUCGAACCCCGCCGCGCAGAGGACAGGACGUCCUGCAUGUUUCCUGAAACAGUGACGCCCGCGGCGCGGCAGCUGGGAGGGCGUGGGAAAGGGCCUGUGUACUGUCCCCGCUUAGCAGACUGCCGCUCGGUGGCUGUAUGUUUCCGAUUUCAGGUGCAGGUAUACUUUAAGGUUAAUAAUAAGCUACAAUAGGUGCUGUGUAAUAAUCUUAAAUUACGGAAUGAAACAUUUCCUUUUACUAAAUGUGGGUUUUGAAAAGUGCUUGAAUUAGAAUAAGCAAGAAAAAAAUGGUCACUUAGGUAACAAUUUCUAAAAGCCAUGGAAUGUAUACAGGGUGGGGCAAAAGUAGUUUCCAGUUGCUUAUAUGGCAAAUAAUACAAUCAUUAAGAAUACAUGUAUACAAGAAUAAACUCUCGAGUAGACCUUUGCCCCACCCUAUAUACAUGCUGGAAUAAUAAAAAUUCAACUACAGUAUGAUGUGAAAGUCAUAUUGCCCACUUUGCUGCUAUGCCAAAAGAAACGGCAUAGAAACAUAGGCAAAACAAAAAUUUUUAAUUUGGGAUUUUGCUCUUCUUUUUCAGGGAAAAUUGCUGAGACUUUGGAGGGGUGAAAGGAUGAGGAAAUGCUUUAACUUCAGAUGCAAUUUAAGAUGGAAAAUAUUAUGGUCUUCCAUGAAUUCUUAGGCAGGGGGGAGAUCAGAACUGGAGUCCAGGCACUAAAAUUACCACAGUAAUAAUCCACUGAAUUAUUGGGCAGUUUGGAAACUAGGAGUAGGAGGGAUAGGACAUUGUGUUUGUUUUUCCAGGGCUCUGUGCACAGUGUGUGGUUGUGCAACCACAGAAGCAGCUCGGAAUGGUCCUAUCCUGUUUAACAAGAUACUGAGUUGCUUUUAAGAGAUAACAGACCGCAACCUCAUGUCAGGUAACCAGAGGUUGCGCAGAUGAGAGAACUUUGACCUCCCGCUGCACCCAGAACCAAAGUCUUGCCACUCCCCACCCCCUCCCUACACAACCAGGACAGAAGCUAAAGGACCAGCACAUAACCUUCAGGAGCAGAGUCCACUGCCCAGGAAGAUCUGGUAUUGAUGACCCUUUAUCAUAAAUGGCCAAGUCCCAAGGUCCUUCGACUAAAACUUGCCCCACCAGCACUUCCCCGUACCCGUUCCUCCUAACCCCUUAAAAUCCCUUAGUCUCGUCCAGCGAGCAAGAUAGGUCUGAGGUACCAUUAAGUCUCCCAUCUCCUCAGUUGGCACCUUCUUGGUCAAUAAACCUUUCCUUACUCCAAA
Long non-coding RNA from Myotis daubentonii (Daubenton's bat), 1422 nucleotides. RefSeq lists it as uncharacterized. Lineage: Eukaryota; Metazoa; Chordata; Mammalia; Chiroptera; Vespertilionidae. The record is from RefSeq and is a predicted model, not a curated record.